CGCGGGAUGGAGCAGUCUGGUAGCUCGUUGGGCUCAUAACCCAAAGGUCGUAGGUUCGAAUCCUACUCCCGCUA
This 74-nucleotide transfer RNA is filed under the name Fidelibacterota bacterium. Its description in RNAcentral is "tRNA-Met". It matches the Rfam family "tRNA". From Rfam's summary of the family: Transfer RNA (tRNA) molecules are approximately 80 nucleotides in length. Their secondary structure includes four short double-helical elements and three loops (D, anti-codon, and T loops). RNAcentral also lists the same sequence under 1 other name. Lineage: Bacteria; Pseudomonadati; Fidelibacterota. The record is from RNAcentral.